Misgurnus anguillicaudatus (oriental weatherfish) is the source of this 566-nucleotide non-coding RNA. NCBI's taxonomy places the organism in Eukaryota, Metazoa, Chordata, Actinopteri, Cypriniformes, Cobitidae. The record is from the annotation of a RefSeq genome assembly.
UAGUGCUGUGAGUUUAACACUUCAUGACUGAGAACAGAACAGAACAGAAUCUUCAUCAUCACACAAACCAAAGGAACAACAAUGACUUUCAUCAUCAUCUUCAUCUGGACACUCACAGUCUUUACUCAAGUGUGUAGAGGACAGUACACUCUUACUCAGAGUCCAUCAAUAACAGUUCAACCAGGACAACAAGUUCAAAUAAACUGUAAAGUCAGCAGUGCAGUGUAUAGUGAUUACUUACACUGGUACUUACAGAAACCUGGAGAAGCUCCUAAACUUCUCAUAUAUUACCUUUUACGGUAUGCAACAACCCUCCAGUCAGGAACUCCAUCAAGAUUCAGAGGCAGUGGAUCAAACACAGAUUUCACUUUGACCAUCAGUGGAGUUCAGACUGAAGAUUCAGGAGAUUAUUACUGUCAGAGUUUACACAUACCUAGUAGCACUUAUGUGUUGACACAGUGAUAAAGAGUGAUACAAAAACCUCAUACACCUAACAGAUACUGCAGAUGAUGAUGCUGAUAGUUUAUUUCACUUGCAGCUCAUUUAUUUUGUACUAUAAUUUAUAA